CCUACGGGAGGCAGCAGUAGGGAAUAUUGCGCAAUGGGCGAAAGCCUGACGCAGCGACGCCGCGUGAGUGAUGAAGGCCUUCGGGUCGUAAAGCUCUGUUGUACGGGAAGCGGUACCGUAUAAGAAAGGACCGGCUAACUUCGUGCCAGCAGCCGCGGUAAGACGAGGGGUCCUAGCGUUGUUCGGAAUCACUGGGCGUAAAGCGUUUGUAGGCGGCUCCGCAAGUCGGGUGUGAAAUCCCACGGCUCAACCGUGGAAGUGCAUUCGAAACUGCAGAGCUUGAAUAUGGAAGAGGAGAGUAGAAUUCCAGGUGUAGUGGUGAAAUACGUAGAUAUCUGGAGGAAUACCGGUGGCGAAGGCGGCUCUCUGGUCCAAAUUGACGCUGAGAAACGAAAGUGCGGGGAUCAAACAGGAUUAGAUACCCUUGUAGUC
This 432-nucleotide ribosomal RNA is filed under the name uncultured bacterium. RNAcentral's name for it is "partial 16S ribosomal RNA". It matches the Rfam family "Bacterial small subunit ribosomal RNA", at positions 338 to 795 of the family's 1533-position model. The record is from RNAcentral.